Molecule: long non-coding RNA, 2598 nt
Organism: Bubalus bubalis (water buffalo)
Lineage: Eukaryota; Metazoa; Chordata; Mammalia; Artiodactyla; Bovidae
Exons: 2
Source: RefSeq, a predicted model, not a curated record
CUUCCCGUCCCGGGGAUGGAAACCACAUCUCUUGCAUCUCCUGCAUUGGCAAGCAUAUUCUUUACCACUGCGCCAUUUGGAAAGCUCAAAUUUACUUCAAUUAAAAAAAAAAGCUAGGGCUACUAUGUUUUGCUGCUGAAAUAACCAGCAGUUAUUUUCUGAUCUUCCACCAGUACCUCUCUGGGCUUUCUCACCCUGCUAAAACUAAACUUGUCUUUCUUCUAAUGUUAAUAUUCAAGGUAAAUAAUAUUCACUUUCACUUCUGAUUACCCUUUUGCUUAAUUGGUAAUAUUGGAUGAGUACUGAAUAGUACUAUUUUCUACCAGUUUUCAAUGAAACAUGGAGUCAUUCUGGCACAUUACAAAUCAAAUGAACUUUUGUAUGAUCACCGAAUGUUAACUGGCUUCUGAGGGAAAUUGUAUUCUAAAUUCCAGACAACUGGUUUGCAAACCUUGCUUUAGAAUGCAACCUAUGUCUAGGUUGAGGUCUUUUUAUGUAGCAUAUUUGUGUAUAAUCAGAAUACCAGAACUGCUGUUUUAAUGGACGAUUAUCUUCUACUGCAUUCAUGGAUGAUCUUUGAAAGAAUCAGAAUAUGUGACACGUCCUUAAUGCAAACUUUAUAAGCACAAUAUUUUCUUUUAUAUUCCGUUUCAUAUCUUCUCCAUUAACCCAUAUUAGAAACAGUAAUCUUUGCCUGCUCCCUCCUCAUAUUUAUCUCUUUCAUUUAUUUGAUCAUUCAUUCACUGCAUCAUUCAACAAAUACUGAGCAUCUACAUGUGCCAGGCAGGAGGCAAGGUCCUGGAGAAAGUUCAAACAGUCUCCACCCUCAGGGAGAGUGUGGGUAUUGGGGACACACACAUGCCAGCAAUUAGAAUACAAUACAGUAAUCAAUAUAAAGAGUCUGUAUUGAUACAAAGAGUAGUGGAAGCUGAGAUGAAACACCUGGGUCUGCUUGAAGACGUCAGGAAGGCAUCAGAGGAGCUGGCUUUUGACCUGGCACUUAAGCAGUUGGCCUGCCUGACAAAGAGGUCAAAGGAGUUCCUAGGGUAGAACGGACCAUUGUGGGUGGAGCUUCGGAUGCAAAAGAGACAAUCCAGGUGGGGGUAAGCCUGAGUUGGUGAGCAGAGAACCAACCAAGGGCUUUUCCUGCCUUUCAGAAAAGUUCAUAUUUUACUUGGGAAGCAUGGGAACCAUUGAAAACUUUUGAGCAGGAGAAUGAAGCAUCAGAUUUGAGGCAAUGAGGAGGCUGGUCUUGUUGGGCAUGACCCUAGAUCAGGGCUUCUUAUUCCAACCUUGGACUUGCAAGAGAUCCGUGGAUAGAAAGCUUGGGGUCUGUGAACUUGGAUAGGGGGAAAAAAAUAACUGUCACCAACCUCUAACUGAAAUUGAAUAUUUUUUUUCAAAUACAAAUCUGGGCACAGAUCACAGUAGAAUUAGCAAAAGAUGUGAGUUUAUCACCAACAGAAAUAAGGUAUUUUGAUACAAUAAUACAGUUGUUGCAGAUAUCUCAAAAUAUCCUUUGCACUUUUCACUGAACAAACACUACUGUAGCUGUUAGACCCGCAACCACAUCGUGUCAUUUAAUGAAUUAAUAAAGAACUAUGUAUAUUAUUGGGUUUCCCUGGUGGUUCAUACGGUAAAGAAUCUGCCUGCAAUGUAGGAGACCUAGGUUCGAUACCUGGGUAGGGAAGAUCCCCUGGAGAAAGGAAUGGCUACCCACUCCACUAUUCUUGCCUGGAGAAUUCCAUGGACAGAAGAGCCUAAUGGGCUACAGUCCAUGGGGUUGCAAAGAGUCGGACAGAACUUAAGCAUAAUUUAACAUACACAUUUUUAAUAGAAUUCAGCUUUUGUGAUUUGUGUUUAAUUUCAUAAUGUAAAUACAGUAUUCUGAGGUGGAGUCCACAGUCUUUGCUGGACUGCUGAAGGGAUCAGAAAAGGUUAGAACUCAUGCACCAGGGGACGGUGACUGUGGGGAGGUCAUUGCAGCCUCAGGCAGUGGUGAGGAGGCGGUGAAGGGGGAGAAUUUGUGGGAGAUUCUGGAGACAGAGUGAACUUUCUUUGAGACAUAGAGCAGAGGGACAGAUCUGCAUGUAUCCUGCAUUCCCCAUGAGGUUUCUGGCUAUAGCAGGAUGCUUCCUACUGCUUAUUACCUGCCACUUCCUUCCCACUACUAUGAUUUUGCAGCUCUUAUACUUUUACCAAAGUUCACAUGCAGCAUGGUUCAAAAAGCCAAGGAGUACGGAAAGACAGAAGGAAAAACAACCAUCCCUCGCUCCCCUCCUCUCCGCCUGCCAGCCUCACAACAUUUUGAACUCUUAGAGCGGUAUCUUCUCUAGCUUGAUGGCAAAUUCUGUGCUGGUAGUGCCUUUUAAUUCCCACUAUGUUUUUCAUUUUAGGUGUUGAAUAAAUGACUGAUAGAUUUCAAAGGCACUUUCUGUUUCAAGGUCACUGUGAACAUCAGGGAUACCAUACUCUAGUUACAGAAGUUAUACCAACAGUGACACUCUAGGAAAUGGUUCUUUCCCCUCAAUUCCCAGGUUUUCUGUCAUUUGUCUUCAUAUGAAAUAACACAGAAUGUGCAAAUAAAAAUUCCAUUUA